AUUGAACGCUGGCGGCAUGCCUUACACAUGCAAGUCGAACGGCAGCGGGCCUUCGGGUGCCGGCGAGUGGCGAACGGGUGAGUAAUGCAUCGGAACGUGCCAUUGAGUGGGGGAUAACGUAGCGAAAGUUGCGCUAAUACCGCAUAUUCUGUGAGCAGGAAAGCAGGGGACCGCAAGGCCUUGCGCUCUUUGAGCGGCCGAUGUCAGAUUAGCUAGUUGGUGAGGUAAAGGCUUACCAAGGCGACGAUCUGUAGCGGGUCUGAGAGGAUGAUCGCCACACUGGAACUGAGACACGGUCCAGACUCCUACGGGAGGCAGCAGUGGGGAAUUUUGGACAAUGGGGGCAACCUGAU
This 353-nucleotide ribosomal RNA is filed under the name uncultured bacterium. Its description in RNAcentral is "bacterial SSU rRNA". It matches the Rfam family "Bacterial small subunit ribosomal RNA", at positions 30 to 387 of the family's 1533-position model. The record is from RNAcentral.